UCGCAUGGCGGGGCUACCAUGCAGUCGAGCGGAACAAAGUACUUGCUACUCUGGCGUCGAGCGGCGGACGGGUGAGUAAUGCUUGGGAACAUGCCUUGAGGUGGGGGACAACAGUUGGAAACGACUGCUAAUACCGCAUAAUGUCUACGGACCAAAGGGGGCUUCGGCUCUCGCCUUUAGAUUGGCCCAAGUGGGAUUAGCUAGUUGGUGAGGUAAUGGCUCACCAAGGCGACGAUCCCUAUCUGGUUUGAGAGGAUGAUCAGCCACACUGGGACUGAGACACGGCCCACACUCCUACGGGAGGCAGCAGUGGGGAAUAUUGCACAAUGGGCGCAAGCCUGAUGCACCCAUGCCGCGUGUGUGAAGAAGGCCUUCGGGUUGUAAAGCACUUUCAGUCAGGAGGAAAGGUUAGUAGUUAAUACCUGCUAGCUGUGACGUUACUGACAGAAGAAGCACCGGCUAACUCCGUGCCAGCAGCCGCGGUAAUACGGAGGGUGCGAGCGUUAAUCGGAAUUACUGGGCGUAAAGCGUACGCAGGCGGUUUGUUAAGCGAGAUGUGAAAGCCCCGGGCUCAACCUGGGAACUGCAUUUCAAACUGGCAAACUAGAGUGUGAUAGAGGGUGGUAGAAUUUCAGGUGUAGCGGUGAAAUGCGUAGAGAUCUGAAGGAAUACCGAUGGCGAAGGCAGCCACCUGGGUCAACACUGACGCUCAUGUACGAAAGCGUGGAGAGCAAACAAGAUUAUAUACCUUGGUACACA
This 759-nucleotide ribosomal RNA is filed under the name Pseudoalteromonas sp. Its description in RNAcentral is "bacterial SSU rRNA". It matches the Rfam family "Bacterial small subunit ribosomal RNA", at positions 37 to 797 of the family's 1533-position model. The record is from RNAcentral. Lineage: Bacteria; Pseudomonadati; Pseudomonadota; Gammaproteobacteria; Alteromonadales; Pseudoalteromonadaceae.